RNAcentral lists this ribosomal RNA (500 nucleotides) under uncultured bacterium. Its description in RNAcentral is "partial 16S ribosomal RNA". It matches the Rfam family "Bacterial small subunit ribosomal RNA", at positions 30 to 523 of the family's 1533-position model. The record is from RNAcentral.
AUUGAACGCUGGCGGAAUGCUUUACACAUGCAAGUCGAACGGCAGCACGGGGGCAACCCUGGUGGCGAGUGGCGAACGGGUGAGUAAUACAUCGGAACGUGCCCAGUCGUGGGGGAUAACGUAGCGAAAGUUACGCUAAUACCGCAUACGAUCUACGGAUGAAAGCGGGGGACCGUAAGGCCUCGCGCGAUUGGAGCGGCCGAUGUCAGAUUAGGUAGUUGGUGAGGUAAAGGCUCACCAAGCCGACGAUAUGUAGCUGGUCUGAGAGGACGACCAGCCACGCUGGGACUGAGACGCGGCCGAGACUCCUAAGGGGGGCAGCAGUGGGGAAUUUUGGACAAUGGGCGCAAGCCUGAUCCAGCCAUUCCGCGUGCAGGACGAAGGCCUUCUGGUUGUAAACUGCUUUUGUACAGAACGAAAAGGUUUCUACUAAUACUAGGAGCUCAUGACGGUACUGUAAGAAUAAGCACCGGCUAACUACGUGCCAGCCGCCGCCGUAA